UCCCUCUUAGCUCGGUCAGUACAGCAUGUCACUACUAUCAUUCCAUUCGCUAUUCUCAUGACGAGGUCAGUUGGUCAAGUUGGCUAGAGGGAA
Non-coding RNA from Armillaria mellea, 93 nucleotides. The record is from the annotation of a GenBank genome assembly. Lineage: Eukaryota; Fungi; Basidiomycota; Agaricomycetes; Agaricales; Physalacriaceae.